This 254-nucleotide ribosomal RNA is filed under the name uncultured bacterium. RNAcentral describes it as "partial 16S ribosomal RNA". It matches the Rfam family "Bacterial small subunit ribosomal RNA", at positions 524 to 773 of the family's 1533-position model. The record is from RNAcentral.
UACGUAGGGUGCGAGCGUUAAUCGGAAUUACUGGGCGUAAAGCGUGCGCAGGCGGUUCGUUAUGUCCGAUGUGAAAGCCCCGAGCUCAACUUGGGAAUGGCAUUGGAAACUGGCGGGCUGGAGUGUGGCAGAGGGGGGUGGAAUUCCACGGUGUAGCAGUGAAAUGCGUAGAGAUGUGGAGGAACACCGAUGGCGAAGGGACAGCCCCCCUGGGCCAACACUGCGCCUCGAGGCACGAAGACGUGGGAGCGAAA